Molecule: long non-coding RNA, 333 nt
Filed under: Homo sapiens (human)
Lineage: Eukaryota; Metazoa; Chordata; Mammalia; Primates; Hominidae
Description: non-protein coding lnc-ATP11B-9:1
Source: RNAcentral
UCAUGGGGGCCCAGAAAUCAUGCUGCUGUCCUACAUAGCGGUAUAUUUUGAGAGGAUGUGCAGAAAAUUAAAGUUAAAUACAAAGUUUUUGCUACUCAUUCCAUUGAGAAGUGGAGUCUAUUUCCCCUCCCCUUGCAUCUGGGCUGACCUUAGUCACUUAUUUGACCAACAGAGUAGAGUAGAGGGAAAGUUAGGCCAGCUUCAGGGCUAGGCUUUAAGAGGAUUGGUAGCUUCUGCCUUGCUCCCUUGGAGCCCUGUGACAUUGUGAUAUAAUAAGACAUACAUAUUUGGUCUCUGACCCCAGUCACUCUGGCACAAUCUUCUAAACCCUUG